RNAcentral lists this non-coding RNA (36 nucleotides) under unclassified sequences. Its description in RNAcentral is "DUF805b RNA". It matches the Rfam family "DUF805b RNA". Rfam says of the family: Bacteroidetes, Chlorobi (1 example), Proteobacteria. Lineage (Flavobacteria) The record is from RNAcentral.
CAGGCGAAAUCCGAAAAGCCUUACAAAGAGUAGGAA